GCAUCAAUAGCUCAGCUGGUAGAGCAGGCCCUUCGCAAGGACAAGGCCCAGGGUUUAAGGCCCUCUUGAGGCACCA
Molecule: transfer RNA, 76 nt
Filed under: Ruegeria sp. A3M17
Lineage: Bacteria; Pseudomonadati; Pseudomonadota; Alphaproteobacteria; Rhodobacterales; Roseobacteraceae
Description: tRNA-Ala
Rfam family: tRNA
About the family: Transfer RNA (tRNA) molecules are approximately 80 nucleotides in length.
Source: RNAcentral